RNAcentral lists this unclassified non-coding RNA (253 nucleotides) under uncultured Moraxellaceae bacterium. RNAcentral's name for it is "contains 16S-23S intergenic spacer region". It matches the Rfam family "Bacterial small subunit ribosomal RNA", at positions 524 to 776 of the family's 1533-position model. The record is from RNAcentral. Lineage: Bacteria; Pseudomonadati; Pseudomonadota; Gammaproteobacteria; Moraxellales; Moraxellaceae.
UACAGAGGGUGCGAGCGUUAAUCGGAUUUACUGGGCGUAAAGCGUGCGUAGGCGGCUUUUUAAGUCUGAUGUGAAAUCCCACUGCUCAACGGUGGAAUUGCAUUCGAUACUGGGAAGCUAGAGUAUGGGAGAGGAUGGUAGAAUUCCAGGUGUAGCGGUGAAAUGCGUAGAGAUCUGGAGGAAUACCGAUGGCGAAGGCAGCCAUCUGGCCUAAUACUGACGCUGAGGUACGAAAGCAUGGGGAGCAAACAGG